UCCGUUGUCGUCCAGUCCGGUUAGGAUAUCUGGUUUUCAGCCAGGCGACCCGGGUUCAAAUCCCGGCAACAGAG
Molecule: transfer RNA, 74 nt
Filed under: Asparagus officinalis (garden asparagus)
Lineage: Eukaryota; Viridiplantae; Streptophyta; Magnoliopsida; Asparagales; Asparagaceae
Description: tRNA A4U43_Glu401
Rfam family: tRNA
About the family: Transfer RNA (tRNA) molecules are approximately 80 nucleotides in length. Their secondary structure includes four short double-helical elements and three loops (D, anti-codon, and T loops).
Source: Rfam by way of RNAcentral